This 549-nucleotide ribosomal RNA is filed under the name uncultured archaeon. Its description in RNAcentral is "bacterial SSU rRNA". It matches the Rfam family "Archaeal small subunit ribosomal RNA", at positions 325 to 879 of the family's 1478-position model. The record is from RNAcentral.
UCGGGGUGCGCAGGCGCGAAAACUUUACAAUGCGGGAAACCGUGAUAAGGGAACUCCGAGUGCCCGUAAAAUCGGGCUGUCCAUCUGUUUAAAUAACAGGUGAAGAGAGGGCCGGGCAAGACCGGUGCCAGCCGCCGCGGUAAUACCGGCGGCUCGAGUGGUGGCCACUAUUACUGGGCUUAAAGCGUUCGUAGCUGGUCUGUUAAGUCUCUGGGGAAAUCUACUGGCUUAACCAAUAGGCGUUUCAGGGAUACUGGCAGACUAGGGACCGGGAGAGGUGAGGGGUACUCCAGGGGUAGGAGUGAAAUCCUGUAAUCCUUGGGGGACCACCUGUGGCGAAGGCGCCUCACCAGAACGGCUCCGACAGUGAGGGACGAAAGCUGGGGGAGCAAACCGGAUUAGAUACCCGGGUAGUCCCAGCCGUAAACGAUGCGCGUUAGGUGUAUCGGUGACCACGAGUCACCGAGGUGCCGAAGAGAAAUCGUGAAACGUGCCGCCUGGGAAGUACGGUCGCAAGGCUGAAACUUAAAGGAAUUGGCGGGGGAGCAC